CAUCGCCGCGGUAAUACGAAGGGUGCAAGCGUUACUCGGAAUUACUGGGCGUAAAGCGUGCGUAGGUGGUGGUUUAAGUCCGUUGUGAAAGCCCUGGGCUCAACCUGGGAAUUGCAGUGGAUACUGGAUCACUAGAGUGUGGUAGAGGAUAGUGGAAUUUCCGGUGUAGCAGUGAAAUGCGUAGAGAUCGGAAGGAACAUCUGUGGCGAAGGCGACUAUCUGGGCCAACACUGACACUGAGGCACGAAAGCGUGGGGAGCAAACAGGAUUAGAUACCCGCGUAGUCCCUGUCUCUUAUACA
RNAcentral lists this ribosomal RNA (301 nucleotides) under uncultured bacterium. Its description in RNAcentral is "partial 16S ribosomal RNA". It matches the Rfam family "Bacterial small subunit ribosomal RNA", at positions 512 to 808 of the family's 1533-position model. The record is from RNAcentral.